AGCUGAGCAGACAGGGCUGCAAGGAAAUCUGGCGCGGUUCAAUACCUCGUCUAGCCUGGGUUCCAGUAUCUAAUUUUCUUUUUAACUGACAAACUCAUUUCUCUACCGGGACAGGAUGCUCUGCUGGCUGGAAGUUCCAUUUCUACAGCAAGAAUCCUAUCUGGAAACACAGAAGUUGUCCUCUAGCCACAGCAGCUCGAACUUUUUUGAUUGUUGUUGCUGCUUUCUCCCAUCACCCCCACCCCCUUUUGACAAAGAUCCAACUGUAAAAAGUCUUACGUAACAGUUCAGGACUACUUCGGUUCUUUUACUGGUAUAUCAAGAGGCCUCAAGAAGAGUAUGAAAACAAUUACAUGUCCAAGUUGGAGCAAUGUGGGUUUCAAUAUUUCGUAGUACCUUUGGAAAAGGAAAAGAGCUGAUGGACAUUUGGAUUGCUUCCAGAUUUGGGCCAUUAUAAAUAAUGCUGCUAUAAACACUCAUAUACAAGUCUUUGUGUAGACAUACAUUUACAUUUCUCCUGGGUAGAUACCUUGGAGUGAAACUGUUGCAUCAUAUGGUAAGUUUCUAUUUAACUUUUUUGUUUUGUUUUGUUUUUAAGAAAAGGAUUCGGGGAGGGGCAAAGUGAGAGGAAGACAGAAAC
Long non-coding RNA from Lutra lutra (Eurasian river otter), 640 nucleotides. RefSeq lists it as uncharacterized. The transcript is spliced from 3 exons. The record is from RefSeq and is a predicted model, not a curated record. Lineage: Eukaryota; Metazoa; Chordata; Mammalia; Carnivora; Mustelidae.